This 495-nucleotide ribosomal RNA is filed under the name uncultured bacterium. Its description in RNAcentral is "partial 16S ribosomal RNA". It matches the Rfam family "Bacterial small subunit ribosomal RNA", at positions 28 to 507 of the family's 1533-position model. The record is from RNAcentral.
GACGAACGCUGGCGGCGUGCCUAAUACAUGCAAGUAGAACGCUGAAGGAGGAGCUUGCUUCUCUGGAUGAGUUGCGAACGGGUGAGUAACGCGUAGGUAACCUGCCUGGUAGCGGGGGAUAACUAUUGGAAACGAUAGCUAAUACCGCAUAAUAGUAGAUGUUGCAUGACAUUUGCUUAAAAGGUGCAAUUGCAUCACUACCAGAUGGACCUGCGUUGUAUUAGCUAGUUGGUGAGGUAACGGCUCACCAAGGCGGCGAUACAUAGCCGACCUGAGAGGGUGAUCGGCCACACUGGGACUGAGACACGGCCCAGACUCCUACGGGAGGCAGCAGUAGGGAAUCUUCGGCAAUGGACGGAAGUCUGACCGAGCAACGCCGCGUGAGUGAAGAAGGUUUUCGGAUCGGAAAGCUCUGUUGUAAGAGAAGAACGAGUGUGAGAGUGGAAAGUUCACACUGUGACGGUAUCUUACCAGAAAGGGACGGCUAACUACGUG